AACGAACGCUGGCGGCAGGCUUAACACAUGCAAGUCGAGCGCGUAGCAAUACGAGCGGCAGACGGGUGAGUAACGCGUGGGAAUCUACCCAACCCUACGGAAUAACGCAUGGAAACGUGUGCUAAUACCGUAUACGCCCUUUGGGGGAAAGAUUUAUCGGGGAUGGAUGAGCCCGCGUUGGAUUAGCUAGUUGGUGGGGUAAAGGCCUACCAAGGCGACGAUCCAUAGCUGGUCUGAGAGGAUGAUCAGCCACAUUGGGACUGAGACACGGCCCAAACUCCUACGGGAGGCAGCAGUGGGGAAUAUUGGACAAUGGGCGCAAGCCUGAUCCAGCCAUGCCGCGUGAGUGAUGAAGGCCCUAGGGUUGUAAACUGCUUUGUACGGAACGAAACGGUGAGCUCUAAUACAGUUUGCUAAUGACGGUACCGUAAGAAUAAGCACCGGCUAACUACGUGCCAGCAGCCGCGGU
RNAcentral lists this ribosomal RNA (469 nucleotides) under uncultured bacterium. Its description in RNAcentral is "bacterial SSU rRNA". It matches the Rfam family "Bacterial small subunit ribosomal RNA", at positions 29 to 521 of the family's 1533-position model. The record is from RNAcentral.